This 324-nucleotide ribosomal RNA is filed under the name uncultured bacterium. Its description in RNAcentral is "bacterial SSU rRNA". It matches the Rfam family "Bacterial small subunit ribosomal RNA", at positions 28 to 334 of the family's 1533-position model. The record is from RNAcentral.
GAUGAACGCUGGCGGCGUGCUUAACACAUGCAAGUCGAGCGAAGCGCUUAAGUUUGAUUCUUCGGAUGAAGACUUUUGUGACUGAGCGGCGGACGGGUGAGUAACGCGUGGGUAACCUGCCUCAUACAGGGGGAUAACAGUUAGAAAUGACUGCUAAUACCGCAUAAGACCACAGGGUCGCAUGACCCGGUGGUAAAAACUCCGGUGGUAUGAGAUGGACCCGCGUCUGAUUAGCUAGUUGGUGGGGUAACGGCCCACCAAGGCGACGAUCAGUAGCCGGACUGAGAGGUUGAACGGCCACAUUGGGACUGAGACACGGCCCAG